UACGGAGGGUGCAAGCGUUAUCCGGAUUCACUGGGUUUAAAGGGUGCGUAGGCGGACAGGUAAGUCCGUGGUGAAAUCCCCGAGCUUAACUCGGGAACUGCCGUGGAUACUAUUAGUCUUGAAUAUCGUGGAGGUAAGCGGAAUAUGUCAUGUAGCGGUGAAAUGCUUAGAUAUGACAUAGAACACCGAUAGCGGAGGCAGCUUACUACGCGAUUAUUGACACUGAGGCACGAAAGCGUGGGGAUCAAACAGG
This 253-nucleotide ribosomal RNA is filed under the name uncultured bacterium. RNAcentral's name for it is "partial 16S ribosomal RNA". It matches the Rfam family "Bacterial small subunit ribosomal RNA", at positions 524 to 776 of the family's 1533-position model. The record is from RNAcentral.